GUGUGUUAGUGGAAGCGUCUGGAAAGGCGCGCGAUACAGGGUGACAGCCCCGUACACAAAAGCGCAUGUGCUGUGAGCUCGAUGAGUAGGGCGGGACACGUGGUAUCCUGUCUGAAUAUGGGGGGACCAUCCUCCAAGGCUAAAUACUCCUGACUGACCGAUAGUGAACCAGUACCGUGAGGGAAAGGCGAAAAGAACCCCGGCGAGGGGAGUGAAAAAGAACCUGAAACCGUGUACGUACAAGCAGUGGGAGCACCCUUUGGGGUGUGACUGCGUACCUUUUGUAUAAUGGGUCAGCGACUUAUAUUCUGUAGCAAGGUUAACCGAAUAGGGGAGCCGUAGGGAAACCGAGUCUUAACCGGGCGUUAAGUUGCAGGGUAUAGACCCGAAACCCGGUGAUCUAGCCAUGGGCAGGUUGAAGGUUGGGUAACACUAACUGGAGGACCGAACCGACUAAUGUUGAAAAAUUAGCGGAUGACCUGUGGCUGGGGGUGAAAGGCCAAUCAAACCGGGAGAUAGCUGGUUCUCCCCGAAAGCUAUUUAGGUAGCGCCUCGUGAAUUCAUCUCCGGGGGUAGAGCACUGUUUCGGCUAGGGGGCCAUCCCGGCUUACCAACCCGAUGCAAACUGCGAAUACCGGAGAAUGUUAUCACGGGAGACACACGGCGGGUGCUAACGUCCGUCGUGAAGAGGGAAACAACCCAGACCGCCAGCUAAGGUCCCAAAGUCAUGGUUAAGUGGGAAACGAUGUGGGAAGGCCCAGACAGCCAGGAUGUUGGCUUAGAAGCAGCCAUCAUUUAAAGAAAGCGUAAUAGCUCACUGGUCGAGUCGGCCUGCGCGGAAGAUGUAACGGGGCUAAACCAU
Molecule: ribosomal RNA, 862 nt
Filed under: Salmonella enterica subsp. enterica
Lineage: Bacteria; Pseudomonadati; Pseudomonadota; Gammaproteobacteria; Enterobacterales; Enterobacteriaceae
Description: partial 23S ribosomal RNA
Rfam family: Bacterial large subunit ribosomal RNA
Source: RNAcentral